This 426-nucleotide long non-coding RNA is filed under the name Trifolium pratense (red clover). RNAcentral describes it as "long non-coding RNA (TPRA_LNC001603)". The record is from RNAcentral. Lineage: Eukaryota; Viridiplantae; Streptophyta; Magnoliopsida; Fabales; Fabaceae.
CCUAUGAAUGGGGAAAUUCUUAAAUUAAUUCACAAUAUAACUCAAGGUUGUAAAAAUCAUAACAAGAAAAGAGCCAAAUCGGACCUGGAUCUAUCAAUCUUCUCCUUCAGAUUCGCAACUUCAAACUAUUUCUUGUCCUCCUCAUGCACGCAAAUUCGAACUAUUCUCGAGAGCUAUAUUCGUGUCCUUCUACAACUGCAACAAGAACAUAACACUCAGAUAUGGAAAACGAAAAUAGAGAUGAAGAAGGAAACACUAAGAUGGAGAAGAAGAUGGAAAAUUGAUCGGUAAAGAAUCCAAGAAAUUAACAAAUUAUCAUCACUCAAAAUCAUCAUAAUCAAGUUAACAACAAAUUAACAAGAGAGUAAUCGGGGAUAGAGAGUGAUACAGAGAGAGAGAGAGGUGAAACCUGUGUUGAGGAGGAGC